CUACGGGUGGCACCAGGCGAGAAAACUUUGCAAUGUGCGAAAGCACGACAAGGUUAAUCCGAGUGGUUUCUGCUAAAGGAACCUUUUGACAGUCCUAGAAACACUGUUGAAUAAGGGGUGGGCAAGUUCUGGUGCCAGCCGCCGCGGUAAAACCAGCACCUCAAGUGGUCAGGAUGAUUAUUGGGCCUAAAGCAUCCGUAGCCGGCUCUGUAAGUUUUCGGUUAAAUCUGUACGCUCAACGUACAGGCUGCCGGGAAUACUGCAGAGCUAGGGAGUGGGAGAGGUAGACGGUACUCGGUAGGAAGGGGUAAAAUCCUUUGAUCUAUUGAUGACCACCUGUGGCGAAGGCGGUCUACCAGAGCACGUCCGACGGUGAGGGAUGAAAGCUGGGGGAGCAAACCGGAUUAGAUACCCGCGUAGUC
RNAcentral lists this ribosomal RNA (422 nucleotides) under uncultured archaeon. Its description in RNAcentral is "partial 16S ribosomal RNA". It matches the Rfam family "Archaeal small subunit ribosomal RNA", at positions 323 to 746 of the family's 1478-position model. The record is from RNAcentral.